RNAcentral lists this ribosomal RNA (424 nucleotides) under uncultured bacterium. RNAcentral's name for it is "bacterial SSU rRNA". It matches the Rfam family "Bacterial small subunit ribosomal RNA", at positions 358 to 773 of the family's 1533-position model. The record is from RNAcentral.
GGGAUAUUGCACAAUGGGCGCAAGCCUGAUGCAGCGACGCCGCGUGGGUGAUGAAGGCCUUCGGGUCGUAAAGCCCUGUCGAGGGGAAAGAAACGGUCUCGACCUAACACGUCGGGUCCCUGACGGUACCCCUAAAGGAAGCACCGGCUAACUCCGUGCCAGCAGCCGCAGUAAUACGGAGGGUGCGAGCGUUGUUCGGAAUCCCUGGGCGUAAAGGGCGUGUAGGCGGUCCGCUAAGUCUGAUGUGAAAGCCCGGGGCUCACCCCCGGAAGGGCAUUGGAAACUGACGGACUCGAGUCCCGAAGAGGAGGGUGGAAUUCCUGGUGUAGCGGUGAAAUGCGUAGAUAUCAGGAGGAACACCGGUGGCGAAGGCGGCCCUCUGGACGGUGACUGACGCUGAGACGCGAAAGCGUGGGGAGCAAAC